UACGUAGGGUGCAAGCGUUAAUCGGAAUUACUGGGCGUAAAGCGUGCGCAGGCGGUUUUGUAAGCCAGAUGUGAAAUCCCCGGGCUUAACCUGGGAAUGGCAUUUGGGACUGCAAGGCUGGAGUGCGGCAGAGGAGACUGGAAUUCCUGGUGUAGCGGUGAAAUGCGCAGAUAUCAGGAGGAACACCGAUGGCGAAGGCAGGUCUCUGGGACGGUACUGACGCUGAGGUGCGAAAGCGUGGGGAGCAAACAGG
RNAcentral lists this ribosomal RNA (253 nucleotides) under uncultured bacterium. RNAcentral describes it as "partial 16S ribosomal RNA". It matches the Rfam family "Bacterial small subunit ribosomal RNA", at positions 524 to 776 of the family's 1533-position model. The record is from RNAcentral.